This is a long non-coding RNA of Schistocerca americana (American grasshopper), 430 nucleotides long. RefSeq lists it as uncharacterized. NCBI's taxonomy places the organism in Eukaryota, Metazoa, Arthropoda, Insecta, Orthoptera, Acrididae. The transcript is spliced from 3 exons. The record is from RefSeq and is a predicted model, not a curated record.
GGUUUGGAAUAUAUAAUGUGCAAAUAAACAAUUUUCAAAAAGCAAAAGAAAAUUUCCUUGAAGCGUGUCUCAGUUCUCCAACCCCAAGAACGUGGUUAGGUUAUGGUUCUGCUUGUUUCAUGGCAGGUGACGUGGAAGAAGCAGAGAAAGCAUUUACUGAGGCUAAUAUGCUAGAUCCACAGUGUCCCAAUAUCUGGGCAUACCUUUGCCUUGUCAAUCUUCACUUAGACAGAGAAGAGGAGUACAGUCAGUGCUACAGGCAAUUAUUAAAGAAUCAAAAUAUUACUGAUGAUAAAGAAGAAACACGUCAUCAUAUGGAUCCCAUUUAAAAAAAGGACAACAAUGUGAUAUGUGACACAGCAAACGACAGAAAACUCAACACUAUAUCAAGCUUAAAGUGGUGUAAUACUAGCAGGAAUCAUGUAGUUUG